Molecule: ribosomal RNA, 645 nt
Filed under: Maladera sp. 835087
Lineage: Eukaryota; Metazoa; Arthropoda; Insecta; Coleoptera; Scarabaeidae
Description: eukaryotic LSU rRNA
Rfam family: Eukaryotic large subunit ribosomal RNA
Source: RNAcentral
GGACCAAGGAGUCUAGCAUGUGCGCGAGUCAUUGGGAUAUUUACUAAACCUAAAGGCGCAAUGAAAGUGAAGGUCCGCCUUGCGCGGACCGAGGGAGGAUGGACCGUNCCGAGGGNCGGCCCNGCACUCCCGGGGCGUCUCGUUCUCAUCGCGAGAAGAGGCGCACCCAGAGCGUACACGCUGGGACCCGAAAGAUGGUGAACUAUGCCUGGUCAGGACGAAGUCAGGGGAAACCCUGAUGGAGGUCCGUAGCGAUUCUGACGUGCAAAUCGAUCGUCGGAACUGGGUAUAGGGGCGAAAGACUAAUCGAACCAUCUAGUAGCUGGUUCCCUCCGAAGUUUCCCUCAGGAUAGCUGGCGCUCGCUUCUCGCGAGUCUCAUUCGGUAAAGCGAAUGAUUAGAGGCAUUGGGGUCGAAACGGCCUCAACCUAUUCUCAAACUUUAAAUGGGUGAGAUCUCCGGCUUGCUUGAACUGUGAAGCCGCGAGAUAUCGGAUCAGAGUGCCAAGUGGGCCACUUUUGGUAAGCAGAACUGGCGCUGUGGGAUGAACCAAACGCCGAGUUAAAGCGCCUAAAUCGACGCUUAUGGGAUACCAUGAAAGGCGUUGGUAACUUAAGACAGCAGGACGGUGGCCAUGGAAGUCGGA